UGCAGUGAGGAAUAUUGGUCAAUGGCUUAACGGCUGAACCAGCAACUUGGAGGAAAUAAGAUAAUAUUAAAAAAAAUAAUAUUAUUAUAUUUCUAAAUAGAUAAUAGGAUUAUGACAUAAAUUUAUUUAUAAGUCUUGACUAAAUUACGUGCCAGCAGUCGCGGUAAUACGUAGAAGACGAGUGUUAAUCAUCUUUAUUAGGUUUAAAGGGUACCUAGACGGUAAAUUUAAGUUUAAAAAAGCUAAUAGUUUACUAGAGUUUUAUAGGAGAAAGGGAGAACUUUUAGAGUAAAGAUAUAAUUUAUUUAUACUAAAAGGACUGAUAAGAGCGUAGGCAACUUUCUAGUUAAAAACUGACGUUGAGGGACGAAGGCAUGGGUAACGAAAAGGAUUAGAUACCCUAAUAGUCCAAGCAGAAAAUUAUGAAUGCUAUAAGUUAGAGUUUUUUUUUAUCUUAUAAAUGAAAGUUUAAGCAUUCCACCUUAAGAGUAAUAUGGCAACAUUGAAACUGAAAUCAUUAGACCGUUUCUGAAACCAGUAGUG
RNAcentral lists this ribosomal RNA (543 nucleotides) under Paracoccidioides brasiliensis. Its description in RNAcentral is "partial small subunit ribosomal RNA". It matches the Rfam family "Bacterial small subunit ribosomal RNA", at positions 350 to 934 of the family's 1533-position model. The record is from RNAcentral. Lineage: Eukaryota; Fungi; Ascomycota; Eurotiomycetes; Onygenales; Ajellomycetaceae.